UGAGCAGGCCCCUCUCAACAGUGGGCCAGCUGUGGGUUUUGCUUUCUCUUUUAACAGUAAAUAAGAAGAAAUCCCUUGUCGCUCGCGAUCUAGUUUGCUUCCACGAGAGUCCACCCAACCCCACCUUUGGGGGCACACAUGACAACACUGAGCGUGGAGACUCGAACGGACCCCUGUGCACCCAUGUUUCCAGCAGCAGGAUUUGGGUGACAACCCAACCGUCCAUCAACAGAGGUCCCCCACCUUUCUCCGGCCUUCCUCCUCGUCGUCGGUGCGUGGGCACGCCUGGUCGUUCAGCAGCGGGCUGACCAAGGGAGAGGCCUGCUUGGUGUCGGGGCUCAGGCUGGGAGACAAGAUCACAUUGGCGGGCACAGCUCCUCCCUGCGAGUUGAUGGACAGCUCUGAAAGAAUUUUAAGGAGUACAACUUCAAAAGUAUCUAUGCUGAGUCCUCCACUUUACCCCCGAAGAGUUACCUGGCGAGCUCCUACGAGGCCACUCACCUAUCAUGAUUUGUCUGUAUUUGGUUCUAAAAUAUAGAUUUUAUCUCUGCAUACCCAGAA
This is a long non-coding RNA of Suricata suricatta (meerkat), 561 nucleotides long. RefSeq lists it as uncharacterized. The transcript has 3 exons. The record is from RefSeq and is a predicted model, not a curated record. NCBI's taxonomy places the organism in Eukaryota, Metazoa, Chordata, Mammalia, Carnivora, Herpestidae.